GACUUUUUAUGUGUUUCAAACUUGUAUAUUUUUCCCAUUUAUUGUUGCUGUCUCAAAAUUUCUGUUUCUUAGAGUCAAAACCUGAGUUUUCUCUGCCGUCAUCUGUAUCUAACUAGCAUCAAGUCUUGGGCAGAUUCUGUAAUGGAAAGAGAUUGUUGUCUGAGGUAAAGUUUUCAUACUUGAGGUUGUAGAGGAAGUGGGUUUUCCAAGUGAUGAUAACAAUAACUGACGCAUGGCCUCACUCUACCAGCCCGAUUGGCUCCUUUCAAGUGGUUUUUAUAAAUUAUUCCUUACCGCAGUCUGUGAAGAAGGUGUUAGUAAUACCUGUGACAGAUGAGAAACAGUUGACAGAGAAUAGAAGACCUCCCCUGGGUUCCCUGCCUGGUGGGAGCCUGGACCACAUGGCCUAGAUGUCUUGUGAGGUGAGGAAGUAUGUGUGAAAAAGUAAACCUCAUCCCGGUAAUUGUCCUGGUUUUUUCCUCCCUACAAUCAUCAUAGUCCUUUCUCUUCAUUCCAAUGCUGCUAACCCUAGGAUAAGGUUCUUAUCACAUCUCUAAUUCUAUAAAUAAUCUCCUAAUAAGUUAAUGGGUCUCUUCUUUCAGUCUCCUCAAAACGCCUAUGGCAGUCUUAGCAUUAAGUGGUUGAAGCAUUUCAGUGCUUUCUCCCUUCGUACAAAAUAAAAUUCUGUCUUAGCCUUAAAGUCUGGCCUCCCUCAGCUGGUCUGUCCAUGUUUGUGUAGCUUUGUGUCUGCCAGCUCCUCUUCAUGUGUCAAAUAGCAAAACAACAAAGCCCCAUUCAGACCCAACAUUCAUGUCCAUGAGUUUGCACACACGGUUUUUCAUGUUCCCCAGCCCCUCACAUGUAGCCAGUAAGAGUCAAAGCGAGCCUUAGAAACCAUCUUGUCCAGCUACUCGGUGCAGGUGGCUUUCCAUCCUGUUACUAGCACUUCAGAAACGAGAGGGUCCUUGUUGCACAGGGUUGACCAUUCCACUGUUCAUCCUAAUUACUGGAAAUGAUGCCACAGUAGCCUUCCAUUUCCUAGCCCUGCCUACUUCCUGUUUGCCUCUUGGCGUUCCUCUCACCCACUUCCUCCCCUUUCACACCUUAACCAUGGAGUGGAGGACAAAGCUGGGUAAUGUCUGUCUCCAUCUAUUGUUCCUCCUUCCUGAGUUACCCCCUGCUACCUAACAGAUGCCUGUUUGUCUUUGGAAACUUUCUCAUAAGCUUCAGCUUUCUGUGGAGACUUCAGUCCAUCUUGCAUUCUUCGUCCCACUCUCAUAAAGUUAAUCAUUUACUUGGAGUUGCCUCUGCAUCUGGUACAUGCAUUCAUUAUUGUCUUUCUUCCCAUCUGUUACUAUUUGCUUGUACAUCUGAUAAGUAGCAUCCACUCAACACUAUGUCAGACAUUGUUCUAAGCAUGUAUAUUAACUCAUUUGAUUUCCGUAACUCUAGGAGGUAGAUACUGUUAUUGUCCCUCUUCACCCCUUUAUCUUUACAACUGUUAAUAUUGUCUUCACAAUAUCUACCUGCUUCACAACAAUCCUCUUAUGGUAUUAGUCUUAUUAGUAUCCCUAUUUUACAGAUGAGAAAACUGAGACAGAGUGGUUAAAUAACUUGCCCACUACAAUAGCUAGAAAGUAGCUGAGCAGAGAUUCAAACCCAGACAGCCUGGCUCCGGAGCUUGGCUCUUCGUCACACAGUGUACUUUCUGCAAAUACAAUAGGGACUCUCAGGAGACAGCAAGGAUAUGUUCUGCUUGGAGAAGAGUGAGCCUCAUGCCAGUCACAAAAGACUGCAUUGACCAAAGGCAUUGAAGCUCAAGUUGAGAACACAGAAUGACAAAGCCAUGGGUGAAGACCUUUGUUCUGCCUGACAAAAGAGAAGUGUAAAACAAAUAACUUCAGCCAGUUCGCCAGUCAUCCAUGGAAGCCGGAAGAUGAGAUAACGUCAGCUAACUCGAGAUAUCUGCAGAAGCUGGAAAAAUUUAACGAAGCCAGUAGCUCAUAGGACAGCUGUGGAAUGUGGAAGGCAUGGUGACAUCAGCCUGCUCACAGGAAACUGUAGAGGGGUAAUGUGGGGACAAGUAUCAAAGUCAGCAGACCACACAGCACAUCUAGGCUGUGUGGCCAUUUAGGUGGAAGCAGGAACUUUCCACUCAGAGAGCUGUCACUGCUUUGGUUCCCUGGGUAGGGGACAAAGGCCAGUGUGUGUGUGUGUGUGUGUGUGUGUGUGUGUGUGUGUGUGAGAGAGAGAGAGAGAGAGAGAGAGAGAGUGUACAAGAACAGUAUUGUCUUUGAGAAGCUCAUAAUCUCCUAGAAAAAAAUGGAUACACAUAUAGGGAACUACAAAUACGUAAAUACAUGGAAUGCAAAAACCAACAACUGUAGGACAUUCAAGGUGAGGAAGUGGUCAGGUUGGAGUAUGACAUGUAUGGAAGAGCUUCUGGAGAAAAAGACAUUCCUCAGUCUCAAAGGAAAUUAAUACUGUACAUAACAGUCAGUAUUAUACAGGAGGCUGGAAUAGGUUGUAAGGAUAGCAUCAAAUCAAAAUCUUGGACGGGGGCUGGGGAUUUAGCUCAAUGGUUUCGCUGCCUGCUGCACAGGUGCAAGGACGUGAGUUUGAUUCCCGGUACCAAAAAAAAAAAAGAAAAAUCUUGGAAGGACCCAGCUGGGGAAAGCACUGAGUUAGGGAUCAACUCACAGGAAGAACCGAGAGAGCCUAUAAUGAUUAGCAGCAAGCUGAUUGUAUCCACCUAGGGGUGCUGAGCUCUUUAGGGUGUGCUUGAGGAUCAACAGAGAGGCAGAUCAGGAAUAAGUUUUUGGCUUGAAUAAAAGCAUUAAGGCAGUAUCAAGUAUGUCCUUUGAU
Molecule: long non-coding RNA, 2865 nt
Organism: Heterocephalus glaber (naked mole-rat)
Lineage: Eukaryota; Metazoa; Chordata; Mammalia; Rodentia; Bathyergidae
Source: Ensembl